UAGCCGCUGCCGAAGCCGAGACUCGCUGCUGCCGAAUGCCUCCACAACCUUCAGCCUUGUUGAACAGUAAGAACCAUGUAAAAUCUUCUCGUGACAAGACUCGCUUGCCGAAGCUGUUAGACACUGAAGCAGUGAGACAACGAACCCAACAUACAGCCUGCGUUAGGCUUCGCGACCCUCACUCUUGCUAUAGACCAAGGACCCAGAUCAAAGGAGCAAAUAAGGCCUCUAAAAAAGCUCCUAAACAACCCUUGCCGUUCGGCAAGGGCUGCGCUGCAGACUCGGUGCCCAUAGCUUGAAGAACCUCGGACCACCGUGAGACUUGGCCUAUGCUGCCGAAGCCGUGACAACACGAAACCAGAUCCGAAUCACUGCCCACUUCGUGGUUACCUCACCGAAGUCGAGGGUGUGCUUUAGCAGGCUGUAACCUCCUUUCGAACAGCAGCUCUUGAUUUCCAGCCCAGCUCCUCAAUGCCACGCAGCCCAGCUUCCUUCUAACUUAAAGAAAGCCGAGAAAAGCGCAAGGCUUGACCGUGCACAAACCUGGCGAUGUGGAAGAAGGUAAUGGCCAAAGUGACACAGCGUGAUGAAAGCUUCAUACGCAGUCCAAGCCAAACCCGAGCAAGACUCAUGCUAAAACACAAGGGCCCCGCCCCAUAAAUCCCUACUCGCCGAAGCUUAAAGACAUCAUGGGCUCACGAAAGCCCAAAUGUCCACAAGGUAACCAAAAAAAAAAAAAAAAGGCUAGGACCUUGCCGAACGGCAAGGACCAUGGAAGGAGAGGAGAGCCCCCAAAAUUUUCAAUAGCCUCAGCCUGCCGAAGGUCUAGCUCCCGAGCUCCCCAAAAAAAAAAAAAAAAAACCCCUACGGACCCAGCUCCCAAAAAAAAG
This 890-nucleotide long non-coding RNA is filed under the name Prunus persica (peach). Its description in RNAcentral is "long non-coding RNA (PPER_LNC005990)". Lineage: Eukaryota; Viridiplantae; Streptophyta; Magnoliopsida; Rosales; Rosaceae. The record is from RNAcentral.